GCAGCAGUGGUUCAGUGGUAGAAUUCUUGCUUUCCAAGCAGGAUAGCUGGUUUUGAUUCCUGGCCAGUGUA
Molecule: transfer RNA, 71 nt
Filed under: Loxodonta africana (African savanna elephant)
Lineage: Eukaryota; Metazoa; Chordata; Mammalia; Proboscidea; Elephantidae
Rfam family: tRNA
About the family: Transfer RNA (tRNA) molecules are approximately 80 nucleotides in length. Their secondary structure includes four short double-helical elements and three loops (D, anti-codon, and T loops).
Source: Rfam by way of RNAcentral